This 468-nucleotide ribosomal RNA is filed under the name uncultured bacterium. RNAcentral's name for it is "partial 16S ribosomal RNA". It matches the Rfam family "Bacterial small subunit ribosomal RNA", at positions 28 to 507 of the family's 1533-position model. The record is from RNAcentral.
GACGAACGCUGGCGGCGUGCCUAACACAUGCAAGUCGAACGGACAGGCCCUGCUUUUGUGGGGUGCACGAGUGGCGAACGGGUGAGUAACACGUGAGUAACCUGCCCUUGACUUUGGGAUAACUUCAGGAAACUGGGGCUAAUACCGGAUAGGAGCUCCUGCUGCAUGGUGGGGGUUGGAAAGUUUCGGCGGUUGGGGAUGGACUCGCGGCUUAUCAGCUUGUUGGUGGGGUAGGGGCUUACCAAGGCUUUGACGGGUAGCCGGCCUGAGAGGGUGACCGGCCACAUUGGGACUGAGAUACGGCCCAGAAUCCUACGGGAGGCAGCAGUGGGGAAUAUUGCACAGUGGGCGGAAGCCUGAUGCAGCAGCGCCGCGUGCGGGAUGACGGCCUUCGGGUUGUAAACCACUUUCGCCUGUGACGAAGCGUGAGUGACGGUAAUGGGUAAAGAAGCACCGGCUAACUACGUG